RNAcentral lists this ribosomal RNA (947 nucleotides) under Lithobiomorpha sp. NZAC03010414. RNAcentral describes it as "partial 28S ribosomal RNA". It matches the Rfam family "Eukaryotic large subunit ribosomal RNA", at positions 396 to 910 of the family's 3401-position model. Lineage: Eukaryota; Metazoa; Arthropoda; Chilopoda; Lithobiomorpha. The record is from RNAcentral.
UACGUGAAACCGCUCGGAGGCAAACGGGUGGGCACUCGAAGGUCGAACGGUGGGAUUCAACCGGUCGUCGUCUUAAUAAUCUUCGACGGUCGCGGGCUAACCGAACGUGAACGGAUCCAUUUAACCGGACCGGGCCCGCGACGACGGUCGGAGGACGGCCGGCGCACUUCCCGCCUAGUAGGACGCCGCGACCGGUCGGGACGUUUGAUCAAACAAACUUAACGGCGGCCAUAAGGCAAGAGGGGGUCUUUUGAGAUUUGAUUCGUCAUUUUUUAUUAGAUCUCCUCGCAGGGUGGGCAGGUAUCUGGCAGGUCGGCUGACGCUUCGUGCCGAAGCUCCUGCCCGAGUUAUAGCCCGCCCGUCGCCCGGCUCCGCCGCCCGACCGAGGAACAAAGUGCAAGACCCUCGCCGGUGUUUCGGUUCUUUUUUUGUUUAAGGAUCGAUGUUAAUGCCCGUCAGCGACAGGCGGUUUGUACGUCCUUUUAAUCGGGGACGUAUACUUAACCCGCGUUCGCCGGACGCACCUAGAGGCGGCCGGUCGAGCGUUACGGGCCGCUGUUGGUCGCGGGGGAUUUCGCACCGCGCGCGACCGGAGGUCUGCGGCGAGUAGGUCGGUCGCCCACCCGACCCGUCUUGAAACACGGACCAAGGAGUCUAACAUGUGCGCGAGUCAAUGGGGAUCUCUCGAGACCCACGGGCGCAAUGAAAGUGAAGGUGGAGGCUCGUCCCCCACCGAGGCGGGAUCCGUAUGAUUACCAGUUUGAACAAAAACAUAAAAAAACUGGCGGCGCACCGCCGGCCCGUCGCAAACGCAACGCCGUUGCGGCGGAGCAAGAGCGUACACGUUGGGACCCGAAAGAUGGUGAUCUAUGCCCGGGCAGGACGAAGCCAGAGGAAACUCUGGUGGAGGUCCGUAGCGAUUCUGACGUGCAAAUCGAUCGUCGGAC